GUAGGUGGCAAGCGUUGUCCGGAAUUAUUGGGCGUAAAGCGCGCGCAGGCGGUUCUUUAAGUCUGAUGUGAAAGCCCACGGCUCAACCGUGGAGGGUCAUUGGAAACUGGAGAACUUGAGUACAGAAGAGGAAAGCGGAAUUCCACGUGUAGCGGUGAAAUGCGUAGAGAUGUGGAGGAACACCAGUGGCGAAGGCGGCUUUCUGGUCUGUAACUGACGCUGAGGCGCGAAAGCGUGGGGAGCAAACAGGGAUUAGAUACCCUGGUAGUCCACGCCGUAAACGAUGAGUGCUAAGUGUUAGGGGGGGUUUCCGCCCCCCUUAGUGCUGCAGCUAACGCAUUAAGCACUCCGCCUGGGGGGUUACGGCCGCAAGGCUG
RNAcentral lists this ribosomal RNA (377 nucleotides) under uncultured organism. Its description in RNAcentral is "partial 16S ribosomal RNA". It matches the Rfam family "Bacterial small subunit ribosomal RNA", at positions 527 to 896 of the family's 1533-position model. The record is from RNAcentral.